AUGAGGUUUCUCUCUCUAAGAACUCACCGUGUUCCUUACCCCCCUUUUCCUCUAGCGUUUUGUGGUGGUUGUUGUCUCCGGAUCCUUCUAGUUUCUCCUCCCUUUCGUGUGGGUUCUUGGUUUCUUGUUUAUUUUCCUACUUUUCACAUAUUUCUAUCCUCAGUGCUUGAAGGCUUCAGCGAUAGAUACGGUAGUUGA
Vicia faba (fava bean) is the source of this 198-nucleotide non-coding RNA. Lineage: Eukaryota; Viridiplantae; Streptophyta; Magnoliopsida; Fabales; Fabaceae. The record is from the annotation of a GenBank genome assembly.